UACGAAGGGGGCUAGCGUUGCUCGGAAUCACUGGGCGUAAAGGGUGCGUAGGCGGGUCUUUAAGUCAGGGGUGAAAUCCUGGAGCUCAACUCCAGAACUGCCUUUGAUACUGAAGAUCUUGAGUUCGGGAGAGGUGAGUGGAACUGCGAGUGUAGAGGUGAAAUUCGUAGAUAUUCGCAAGAACACCAGUGGCGAAGGCGGCUGUCUGGUCCGGUUCUGACGCUGAGGCGCGACAGCGUGGGGAGCAAACAGG
RNAcentral lists this ribosomal RNA (253 nucleotides) under uncultured bacterium. RNAcentral's name for it is "partial 16S ribosomal RNA". It matches the Rfam family "Bacterial small subunit ribosomal RNA", at positions 524 to 776 of the family's 1533-position model. The record is from RNAcentral.